RNAcentral lists this ribosomal RNA (21 nucleotides) under Trichoderma asperellum. Its description in RNAcentral is "partial 28S ribosomal RNA". Lineage: Eukaryota; Fungi; Ascomycota; Sordariomycetes; Hypocreales; Hypocreaceae. The record is from RNAcentral.
UUCUGAAAUGUUGACCUCGGA